GACGAACGCUGGCGGCGUGCUUAACACAUGCAAGUCGAACGGAAAGGCCCUGCUUUUGUGGGGUGCUCGAGUGGCGAACGGGUGAGUAACACGUGAGUAACCUGCCCUUGACUUUGGGAUAACUUCAGGAAACUGGGGCUAAUACCGGAUAGGAGCUCCUGCUGCAUGGUGGGGGUUGGAAAGUUUCGGCGGUUGGGAUGGACUCGCGGCUUAUCAGCUUGUUGGUGGGGUAGUGGCUUACCAAGGCUUUGACGGGUAGCCGGCCUGAGAGGGUGACCGGCCACAUUGGGACUGAGAUACGGCCCAGACUCCUACGGGAGGCAGCGGUGGGGAAUAUUGCACAAUGGGCGGAAGCCUGAUGCAGCAACGCCGCGUGCGGGAUGACGGCCUUCGGGUUGUAAACCGCUUUCGCCUGUGACGAAGCGUGAGUGACGGUAAUGGGUAAAGAAGCACCGGCUAACUACGUG
This 467-nucleotide ribosomal RNA is filed under the name uncultured bacterium. RNAcentral's name for it is "partial 16S ribosomal RNA". It matches the Rfam family "Bacterial small subunit ribosomal RNA", at positions 28 to 507 of the family's 1533-position model. The record is from RNAcentral.